Long non-coding RNA from Penaeus monodon (black tiger shrimp), 1497 nucleotides. RefSeq lists it as uncharacterized. The transcript is spliced from 4 exons. The record is from RefSeq and is a predicted model, not a curated record. Lineage: Eukaryota; Metazoa; Arthropoda; Malacostraca; Decapoda; Penaeidae.
AAUUAAGGACAAAAGCCUAAAGAAUUGGGAAAAAUAUUUCAAUAAUGCCCUAAAAAAAAAAAAAAAAAAAAAAAAAAAAUUACAUAAAAAAACCGCAGUCCCCAACCAUGGACAAGAUCUAAAUACAGAAAAUUAGACACAUGCAUUACAAGACUAAUAACAACACACACAAGACUAAAGCACCAUCUAAAAAGGAUAAAAAUUUAAAAUUAUCCUUUUUGCAGAUGAUGUAAAAAUCAAGAAGAAACAGGAACACACUCCUUCACUGUCCAAGAUUCAAUUCAAUCAGUGAUAUUGUUGGAAGCAUUAAAGAAAACAAAAAUUAAUAACCCAGGUGUAAAACUGUUGAUCACAUGAGAAGAUUUCCCAGAAGAUCAAAAAUAUUACAUAUUAAGACAUACCAAAAUAUUCUUACAAAAAACAAAAAUUAUAGACAUGAUAUAAUAGAAGAAAGACGAUGAAAGAAAAAGGAUCCGGGGGAUAUGGACAGAAAGAGUCUGAAACCCUAUAAAAGAAAAAAGAAGAACAGGAAGUCUCCUUCGUGAAAUAGUUGCAAUGAACCUCCUUGGAGUGGGCAUCUAAAAGUAGCUUCAAAUUAUGAGUUUAGUGAAUAGAAGAAUAUAUAAUGAACAAUGAACUGGAGCUCUAAAUGAAAUUAUUUAUAAUUCCCAUGAGAAAAUAGACGGGAAAACAGUGCCGGCAGGAGCGGCACUGACGACUACCCGACCAUAGACAAAGACUUUCGCUUAAAUGUCAUAGAGUCAACACGUAAAAUCUUAACUCGAGUGAAGUAAAGUUUAAGAAUAUUCAAUGAACGCAAAUUUAAACCCAGAUCCAGGAGAAAAUUCUGGAAUCUUAAAAGAAAUGGACUACGACUCACAAACAAAUAGAAGACGGACAGAAGAAGUGACAGUGAAGAAAACCCAGAUCCCAAACCGGCAGAAACUUAGAAGAAUUUCAACCACCUUAUAUAGACAACACAACAGUGCAGACCAUUCACCAGCUAAGAAGUACUACAUAUUAAGACAUAAGAAGAUAUUACAAAUAUUAAUAGAUAUAUAAAAUCUCCAAUCGACAAAAAGAGAGCUAAGAAACAUAGAUCCAGGGAAUAUAGACUUCAAAAUUCUGAAACCGUAUAAAAGAAGAAGAGAGAAGUCUGCUUCAGCUGCUAGGAUAGCUUCUAGUUUUGCUGAACACAUCGCUGAACUUGAAAAAGGAGGCAAUUGACCACAAAUGCAGAAUUACUGCAUUUUGAGACACAAAAAUCUACAAUACUCAAUAAUAGAUGAAAAUUGAGUUAGCAAAACAAUCCAGGGAAUAAAAUCAGCAAUAAUACAGUCUCACCCCUAAGAAAGUAGUGAAGUCAGUGAAGUUUGUGGAAUAAAGAUGUCAUCUAAUAAUUGUACAGCCACAGAGUUAGGUGAACUAAAAAAACAGAUAAGGCAAGCAAGAAAUGAACUGAAGAACUUAAGGCAGGCUAGGCAGAUGGCGUACUAU